AGAAAGAAAAAGUGGAAAGUGAAUCUUCCUCCAAGCUAAGAGAGGUACGACUGAGUGUUCAAAUCCUCUCUUGUGGGUAAAGAUUAAUCAAUGUUUGCCAUUGUGCGAUGAUAGUUUCUCACGAAUUCCAAUUGCCGCACAAGUGUUAACAUAUCUUGGACGAUUUGGACCUCAAGCAUUGGAGCGGAUCUGAUCUGCUAUAGGUAUUUCUCUACCACUUCGAGUAACAAUUCAAACUUUAUCCAUCAAAGAUUUAAUGAUAAUGCUCUCAUCUUCACCUUCAUCUUCACUGCUCAUCCUCACUUCUCUACUGUGACGGGUGCUUAUUUUCAUCCUCUAUGGUUCGGAAGGUCCAGUUAGCUGUCGAGGACAAGAUCCCAAAUCGGAGGGAAUAGAAUCUGGCAAUCUAAUGUUGAAGCGAGCCACCUCAGUUGAAGUACUGAUAUCAGGUAUACUAACACCAUUUAAAAUAAUUAUCCAAUUCAUUAUCUAUCCUUCAAUGGAAUGAAUCCCUCAAUAGGAAUUAAUACCACCAUAAAAAUCUAGAUAUUGAGCUGGACUACUAUUUCAAAUCUGUUAUGCUUGGGAAAGACUUCUGAUUGAGUUAAACCAAGUUCGGCUUAGUUGAGAGUUAUGAAUGAUGCUUUUAAGUCCUGGUUUAGUACCAAAUGAACACCUCAAAGCUCUCACCAGAUGUAAGGUACUGUCAACCAAUCAAAAUUUCUUCAAACUUAACUAGACAUCGAUCCAACCAUUUUCUUUGUAUCCUUACUUGUAACUCAAUAAUAUAAUUUGUGCAAUUGAUAAUGAACCUUCUAUCUCUUAACUGGAACUAUUUGAAUGGUUCAUUUGUUUAAUUCUCA
This 863-nucleotide long non-coding RNA is filed under the name Solanum tuberosum (potato). Its description in RNAcentral is "long non-coding RNA (STUB_LNC003668)". The record is from RNAcentral. Lineage: Eukaryota; Viridiplantae; Streptophyta; Magnoliopsida; Solanales; Solanaceae.